AGAGUUUGAUCCUGGCUCAGGAUGAACGCUGGCGGCGUGCCUAACACAUGCAAGUCGAGCGAUUCUCUUCGGAGAAGAGCGGCGGACGGGUGAGUAACGCGUGGGUAACCUGCCCUGUACACACGGAUAACAUACCGAAAGGUAUGCUAAUACGAGAUAAUAUGCUUUUAUCGCAUGGUAGAAGUAUCAAAGCUUUUGCGGUACAGGAUGGACCCGCGUCUGAUUAGCUAGUUGGUAAGGUAACGGCUUACCAAGGCGACGAUCAGUAGCCGACCUGAGAGGGUGAUCGGCCACAUUGGAACUGAGACACGGUCCAAACUCCUACGGGAGCCA
RNAcentral lists this ribosomal RNA (333 nucleotides) under uncultured bacterium. RNAcentral's name for it is "bacterial SSU rRNA". It matches the Rfam family "Bacterial small subunit ribosomal RNA", at positions 8 to 350 of the family's 1533-position model. The record is from RNAcentral.